This 459-nucleotide ribosomal RNA is filed under the name uncultured bacterium. Its description in RNAcentral is "partial 16S ribosomal RNA". It matches the Rfam family "Bacterial small subunit ribosomal RNA", at positions 338 to 795 of the family's 1533-position model. The record is from RNAcentral.
CCUACGGGUGGCAGCAGUGAGGAAUAUUGGUCAAUGGCCGAGAGGCUGAACCAGCCAAGUUGCGUGAGGGAAGACGGCCCUACGUGUUGUAAACCUCUUUUGUCGGGGAGCAAAGCGAGUCACGUGUGACUCAUUGAGAGUACCCGAAGAAAAAGCAUCGGCUAACUCCGUGCCAGCAGCCGCGGUAAUACGGAGGAUGCGAGCGUUAUCCGGAUUUAUUGGGUUUAAAGGGUGCGCAGGCGGAGGUGUAAGUCAGCGGUAAAAUUGCGGGGCUCAACCCCGUACUGCCGUUGAAACUGCAUCCCUUGAGAGCGCGAGAAGUAUGCGGAAUGCGUGGAGUAGCGGUGAAAUGCAUAGAUAUCACGCAGAACUCCGAUUGCGAAGGCAGCAUACCGGCGCGCAACUGACGCUCAUGCACGAAAGCGUGGGUAUCGAACAGGAUUAGAUACCCGAGUAGUC